RNAcentral lists this long non-coding RNA (578 nucleotides) under Glycine max (soybean). Its description in RNAcentral is "long non-coding RNA (GMAX_LNC004481)". Lineage: Eukaryota; Viridiplantae; Streptophyta; Magnoliopsida; Fabales; Fabaceae. The record is from RNAcentral.
UAAAACACGAACAUGGGAGAGCCACAAUUAACUGUUUAUUCAAAGUUGGGUUUUGUAGACCUGAGUCUUGGAGCGGAUCCAAUAUAAUCAUUUUGCGUUUUGUAGAGAUGAGUUUUGUAGAUAUGAUACCAAUUUCAAAAUCUGGGUUCUGCUUUUGUAGAUCUGGAUUAUCAAGAUCUGACAUCUCUCUUUUCUCAGCUUCUUCAACAACAGUGUACGACAGUGCGUGAAAGAGGAUGUAUGAUGACAGAUGUGUAUCGAUCGACGAUGGUGCUAAAAGAACAUGGGGAGAAGGGAAAGAAAAUAAAAAGAAAGAGAUAUAAGUCUACAACUAUGGUGGCCAAAAUCGCCCAAGGGAGAAGAAAAGAAAAGAAGGAGAAAGAUAAAAGUUUAAAUACUAAUUAACGAUAUUAACAAAGGUUGGAGAAAAAUAUAUUUUAUGACGAUUAAAAAGGAUCAAUAUUUAAAUAUAAAUAUUAAUUAAUGGUGUUAAUUUUAAAUUGAUGAAAAUAUUGUUUUUAAUCAUUUAAAAAAAGAUAAAGAUACAAAUAAAUUUUUUAAAAGAUAAAAAAUUAAAA